CCUACGAGUGGCAGCAGUGAGGAAUAUUGGUCAAUGGGCGCGCGCCUGAACCAGCCAAGUAGCGUGAAGGAUGACUGCCCUACGGGUUGUAAACUUCUUUUAUAAAGGAAUAAAGUGAGGCACGUGUGCCUUUUUGUAUUUACUUUAUGAAUAAGGAUCGGCUAACUCCGUGCCAGCCGCCGCGGUAAUACGGAGGAUCCGAGCGUUAUCCGGAUUUAUUGGGUUUAAAGGGAGCUUAGAGGGGUGGUUAAGUCAGUUGUGAAAGUGUGCGGAUCAACCGUAAAAUUGCAAUUGAUACUGGCAGCCUGGAGUACAGUUGAGGUAGGCGGAAUUCGUGGUGUAGCGGUGAAAUGCUUAGAUAUCACGAAGAACUCCGAUUGCGAAGGCAGCCUACUAAACUGCCACUGACAUUGAUGCUCGAAAGUGUGGGUAUCAAACAGGAUUAGAGACCCCUGUAGUC
RNAcentral lists this ribosomal RNA (460 nucleotides) under uncultured bacterium. RNAcentral's name for it is "partial 16S ribosomal RNA". It matches the Rfam family "Bacterial small subunit ribosomal RNA", at positions 338 to 795 of the family's 1533-position model. The record is from RNAcentral.